Molecule: non-coding RNA, 512 nt
Organism: Paramuricea clavata
Lineage: Eukaryota; Metazoa; Cnidaria; Anthozoa; Malacalcyonacea; Plexauridae
Source: the annotation of a GenBank genome assembly
AAAUUACUUAUUUGAACGAGUUUGUUUUGGUCGUCGCGUUGCCGUCACCUAUUUGCUAAAGGUCCCUAUGGAGGAACAAGCAGUGCAAACACAUCCUGAUAUCGGCAUGACAACAACCUUGUUACAACGUGUUUGCAGACCUGUAACAAAUUGCGCGUUUUCACGUGUGUAUUCAUGGUUUUCACUGAAAUUCAGGGCCCAUUUAUUCAAAGUUGGAUUAGUGCUAAUCCUGGGUUAGAAGUUAACCCGCUGUUUUGGUUCCAAUUGGCACAUAUGUUCAUUUCAAAACUUUGGAAUAUAAAACUACUACUAAUGCAGACAAGAAUUCUAGAAAUCGAUGCGGGUCAUGUUUAUAAACUUGAAACAAAGUGGCAGGGUAUUAUAUAGAUCACGUGAAUUCAUGUUUCGUUCAGUUUGAAAGGUUUUACGACAAUCAUUAUAGAGGUUCAGAUUUGACGGGAGGUACUUCAUGUAAGGCCCACAAAACAGUUUGUUGAAUUAUAAGGUAUGGU